Long non-coding RNA from Eriocheir sinensis (Chinese mitten crab), 4739 nucleotides. RefSeq lists it as uncharacterized. The record is from RefSeq and is a predicted model, not a curated record. NCBI's taxonomy places the organism in Eukaryota, Metazoa, Arthropoda, Malacostraca, Decapoda, Varunidae. The transcript is spliced from 3 exons.
AAAGGGUAAAGAUAAAAGAAGAGAGAAGAGAGAAAGGAAGCAAAGGAAAAAGAGAAAUCCCGCAAAUAUGAUGAGAGGAGAGAGGGAGAAGUAUAAGAGGGUAAGAGAAAGAUGGAAGAAGCAAUAUAAUUAUGAUGAGAGACAGAUAAAUAGAUAGAGAGAGAGAGAGAGAGAGAGAGAGAGAGAGAGAGAGAGAGAGAGAGAGAGAGAGAGAGAGAGAGAGAGAGAGAGAGAGAGAGAGAGAGAGAGAGAGAGAGAGAGAAAUAAAAGAAAGGAAGAAAAUGGUGGAGGAAACAACGAACAUGAUGAAAGGAGAGAUAGAAGUGAAGGAAAGGAAAGGAAAAGAAAGGAAAGGGAAGGAAAGAAUAGCUGGAGGAAACAACAAAGACAAUGACAGGAGAGAGAUAUUUGAAGGAAAGGAAAGGAAAAGAAAGGAAAGGGAAGGAAAGAAUAGCUGGAGGAAACAACAAAGACAAUGACAGGAGAGAGAUAUUUGAAGGAAAGGAAAGGAAAGGAAAGGAAAGGAAAAGAAAAGAAAAGAAAAGAAAGGAAAGGGCUGGAGGUAACAACAAACACAAUAACAGGAGAGAGAGAUGUGAAGUGAAGGCAAGGAGAGGAAAGGAGGCGGCAACACACACGAUAACAGGAGACACGGAAACAAAUAAAGGAAAGAAAAACUGGAUGAACGAAAAAACACGAGUAAAGAGAGAGAGACAGUGAGAAGUAAAGUAAAGGAAAGGAAAGGUAAGGUAAGGUGGAGAAAGCUACGGGUAUACAUUCGUAGGCGAGGGAAAGGUGACAGUGAGUGAAGGGAAAUUAAGGAAAGGUAAGGUAAGGUGGAGAAAGCUACGGGUACAUAAUCGUAGACGAGGGAAAGGGGACAGUGGGUGAAGGGAAGUUAAGGAAAGGAAAGAUAAGGUAGAGAAAGCUACGGGUACAUAAUCGUAGACGAGGGAAAGGGGACAGUGGGUGAAGGGAAGUUAAGGAAAGGAAAGAUAAGGUAGAGAAAGCUACGGGUACAUAUUCGUAGGCGAGGGAAAGGGCGCGUGUGGAAGGAUGGUUCGGGUAGAUAAAAUGACUAAUUAAGGCGGGAGGGAGAAAGGUAUAAGAGGGAUUGGAUAUAAUUAGGGGCGGAUAAUAGGAUAGCCGAGAUGACACGAAAAGAAAGGGAAAGAAAAGCGGGGGUGGUGGAAAGAACGGGUUAAGAAUAGGGGGAUAGACAAUGGGUGAAAGGAUAGAGGAAUGAAUGAAGGAAGGAAAACAAAAGAGAUUGAGAUUGAUGAUAACGAAGGAAGGAUGUAAUGGGAAAAUGAUUGGAAGUUAGGGAGGAAAAGGAGUUAGAAGGGAUUGGAAUAACGAUGGGAGAUAGGAAAGAGGGAAUGGAAGAUAAAGUAGGGAGAAAGAAGGAGAAGGAGAAAGACAGAAAAAACGGACGGGAUGGAAGGAACGAAAAUGGAGGAAAGGAAGAAGGAAAGAGAGUAAAAAGGGGAUAUGAAAAACACGAAUAUGAGAGGUAGGAAGAAGGAAAGAGGAAAGGAAAGGAAAUAAGAAGGAAUAAUAGACGAAUGAAACGCAAAUGGAAGACAGAAAGAAGAAAAUUGAUAAAAAAAAGUGACGGGGAAAGGAUGGAAAGGAGGGAGGAGAAAGGGGAUAGCCAGACAGGGGAUAGAGUAACGAGAGAAGGAUAGGAUGGUGACCUGGAUCGGAGGGAGGAGGAGGAGAGGGAGGGAAACGCAGAUGAGGAGAGAAGGGAAAAAGGAGAGGCAGGAACGAUGAACGGAUAUUGACGGGAAAGGGAAAGAGAGAGAGAGAGAGAGAGAGAGAGAGAGAGAGAGAGAGAGAGAGAGAGAGAGAGAGAGAGAGAGAGAGAGAGGAGAGGAGAGGAGGGGGACGAAAGAGAGAAAGAGAGAGAGCUGGAAGGAAAUAUGUGUAGAGCGAAAAGAAAGAAAGAGAGAUAGAGAAAAGAGAGAGAGACGGAGGGCGGGCGAGGACGAAGUAAUAUCAUUUUUUCAUUUCUUUUCUCAUAACAUUUUUUUUUCCCCCGCUCUCUCUCUCUUUUUGUGCCUCGUGAUUAAUUCAUAUUUUUCCUCAUUUACCGCCUUCCUCCUCCUCCUCCUCCUCCUCUCUUCCUUCACCCUCAUUUCAUCUCCCUCGCUUCCACUUCAUCUUUUCUUCUCUUCACGGGGCCAUAUUCUCACGCACUCUAUUUUUCUCCCUUUUCCUCUCCUCCUCUUCUUCUUCCUCCUCCUCCUCCUCUGACGUCAGCAUUCUCUCUCUCUCUCUCUCUCUCUCUCUCUCUUGCAUGCUCCUCUUCUUCUUUUACCUUCUUAUAAUCCCUCCAUUUCUUUUGCUAUGCCCAGCCUUCUCCCAUCACAUCCCUCUCUCUCUCCCUUCCACCCUCUCUCCCCUCUCCCUCUUACGCCUCUUUUGUCUUAUUGACCUUUUGGAGUAGGAGGAGGAGGAGGAAGAGGAGGUGGCUUGUUCAUUGCGUGUCUGUAUUUUUGGUCUUUGUUGGUAAUGCUGCUUCUUAACCAUCAGCAUCAUCAGCAUCAUCAUCAUCAUCAUCACAUUUAGAAAGUCUGCAGCCUCAGUUCGUUAUCUGACACGCAAAAGAACCUCGUUUCUUGCCUGACUGACUGGAUAUAAUUAAUGAAAAAUGUAUCGAGGUUAAGUUUAUAUUCUGCUUGCUUUAUUGGGCGUGGCACUGUCUCUGUGUGUGUGUGCGUGUGUGUGUGUGUGUGUGUGUGUGUGUGUGUGUGUGUGUGUGUAGGUGUGAUAUUAGUCGCGUCUCAUGGUGAUAUAAAGUACCUGUCAGUUCGGUCGCUUUUAAUAAUACAUGAGUGGAAUUGUUGUUCUCUCUCAGUCUACGUGUCUUGGCUUUUGAUAAGGAGGUGUGCGUGUGCCUGUGUGUGUGUGUGUGUGUGUGUGUGUGUGUGUGUGUGUGUGUGUGUGUGUGUGUGUGUGGCCAUUACCUGCGAAAAAGGUCACCUGUUUACUAGUGGGUGAUUAUGGUGCUUUUUACGAGAUGCAAAUACCGAGCACAGGUGAGCGUAGGAGUACAGCUAAGGUAGCCAAUGAGAGGGAACGGGUGUGGGAGGGAGGUAGAUAGAAAGAUAGAAAGGGGAAAGGUUAGUGUAGGUGGGCGGUAAGCAAUAAGAAGGAACAGAGGGAGAUAGAGAAAGGGGGAAGGAUACUCCGAGUGGGCGAUCACUAUUGAGAGAGCGGAGUGACAGAAAAUGGGAAAGGUUACUGUAGGUGGGCGCUAACCAAUGAGAUGGAACGGGGGAAGGGGAUAGAGAAAAGGGGAAGGUUAGCUUAGAUGGAUGGUAAGUAAUGAGAGAGGGAACUAAAGGGAGGGGGGAGAAAUAGGGAAGGGGGAAAGCGUAGUUCAGGUGGGCGGUAACCAGAGGGAAUGGGCGAAAUGGGGAAGGGGGAAAGGUAAGGUAAGCUCAGGUGGGCGGAAACCAGAGGGAAUGGGGGAAAUGAGGAAGUGGGAAAGGUAAGCUCAGGUGGGCGGUAACCAGAGGGAAUGGGCGAAAUGGGGAAGGGGGAAAAGAAAGGUAAACUCAGGUGGGCGGUAAGUUAUUGCUAGCUAACUUAAAGAACAUUCCUAGUGCAGCCAAGAGCGUUGAAGAAUACCAAAGUCGAUUAUAUAGUUACGCUGCGUUGUCCCUCACUGUCACUUUGUUAGAUACGCUCUGUCCUCGUCGGUCCCUUUCCUCUGUCUGUCUGUCUGUCUGUGUCUCCCCCCCCCCCUCCCCCACACACCAAAACUAAUAAAGACAAUUACAUAAGCACUAUUACCUCGCUAUCGGUUCGUAUUAAUAACGCAAUGAUAUUACGACCCCACAAAAAAAAGGUUAUUGUCGAUGAGAGAGAGAGAGAGAGAGAGAGAGAGAGAGAGAGAGAGAGAGAGAGAGUUUGUAUUUCAUCUUAUUAAUAUAUCUUUGGGGGGACGGUAUAAUUUUUUGUCGCUUCAGGUGUGUAACAGGUAAGGAGCAAUAACAGGCAAGGAAGACACUCCAGGGUGGUUAAGUGACGUUGAGGACAGACUUCAGGUGAGAUAAACGACGUCCAAGUGGGUGGAUUCCGGGAGGCGAGUGCGUGAGUGAGGCAGGUGUGUGUGUGUGUGAGGGGGGGGGAGGAGGAGGGGAGGGGGGAGAUUAAUGAGGCCGCCGUUAAAUUAAUUAUACGAACCUUGUCAGUGUGAUAAUUAAAGGUCAAGAACAACAUUUUCCUCACCAUGCACAGAGACAGGAUAAGAAGAAGUAUCUCGUGUGGGCAAUAAUAAAAGGUCAUAUUUUUAAACGUAUCGACACUUCCGUUCGCCUCUUUGAAAAUCCUCUCGUAAACGUUGCUGGGGUUUUCAUGGAGUGUUUUGUAAUCCUCCUCGUGAUAGUUUUACACGACUUCUUCACUAUGGACGGGAAAAACAGCCAUGAAAAUACGGUUACUUUUCUUUGUAGCCUUUAGAAACAGUCGUAGUGGAAGCCUUAUACUUUUAAAACAAUAUGAACCUAAGUUUAUGGACGAGAAAAACACUCACGAAAAUCCGGUUACUCUUCUCUGUGGCCUUGAGAGAAUAGUCGUAUAGUGGAAGCCUUAUACUUUUAAAACAAUAUGAACCUAAGUUUAUGGACUGGAAAAACACUCACGAAAAUCCGGUUACUUUUCUUUGUUGCCUUUAGAAACAGUCGUAUAGUGGAAGCCUUAUACUUUUAAAACAAUAUGAACCUAAG